RNAcentral lists this long non-coding RNA (768 nucleotides) under Brassica napus (rape). RNAcentral's name for it is "long non-coding RNA (BNAP_LNC014357)". Lineage: Eukaryota; Viridiplantae; Streptophyta; Magnoliopsida; Brassicales; Brassicaceae. The record is from RNAcentral.
UGCAGAUCAAUAUACUAUUAAACAAAAACUGCUUAUUUUCAGAAUAAUGCUUACACUAGUAUUCUUGCAAAUGCCAAUAUAUUAAUCUAUGCAUUAAGUUUAAUAUAUUUUUCUCUAAUUAUAGUGAUUAAGAUAUUUCUUCCAUCCACUUCUCUUUCCAUACGAAUGAUAAAAGUGAAAGACAUGGAGCGAUGUCUAGUGAGUACUGACUACAAGAAAUGAAGUGUAUAUGUAUAUUAUUACACUUCAAUCUCAUCGUCCUCUUCAUGACGUUCGUCUUGUCAAAUCAAAGCCCAUAUCAUCAUAUCGUUCUCAUGAUCAUGAUAAAUCAUCAACCAUGAAAAUGCAUGUGAGGAUGAGGAGGACACAAUUCUCUCGUGAACAUGUUUGUUCUCUUAAUAGUACAUACACGUCGUAAACAUGUUUAGUAAAAGCUUUGGUAACAACUGGAGAGAUAUACGGAAAAUCUUGAUUAACAUUAAUUAUUUAUUUAUUCUUUUGUUAAAGGGUAACAUUAAUUAUUUAGAUUGGUAACAUGUUAUACACUUGAUGUAGUUUGAGUUAGGAGUAUUAAUCACAAAUGUUACAAAUCAUGAUUUGAUUAUAAAUUUUUUAUUUUGUUUUUGAAUUAUAAUGUGACAAGGUUGAGUUAUACUUUGAGUUAUCUCCUUUGCAAAAUCAACAAAUCAAAUAGUACAUCAACAUCAAAGAAAAUUGUAUAAAUAGCGCUUGAUUUGACUUAAGUUCGUAUUUUUGUUUGGUUGUCCA